AAAUUGAAGAGUUUGAUCAUGGCUCAGAUUGAACGCUGGCGGCAGGCCUAACACAUGCAAGUCGAACGGUAACAGGAAGCAGCUUGCUGCUUUGCUGACGAGUGGCGGACGGGUGAGUAAUGUCUGGGAAACUGCCUGAUGGAGGGGGAUAACUACUGGAAACGGUGGCUAAUACCGCAUAACGUCGCAAGACCAAAGAGGGGGACCUUCGGGCCUCUUGCCAUCAGAUGUGCCCAGAUGGGAUUAGCUUGUUGGUGAGGUAACGGCUCACCAAGGCGACGAUCCCUAGCUGGUCUGAGAGGAUGACCAGCCACACUGGAACUGAGACACGGUCCAGACUCCUACGGGAGGCAGCAGUGGGG
Molecule: ribosomal RNA, 362 nt
Filed under: Salmonella enterica
Lineage: Bacteria; Pseudomonadati; Pseudomonadota; Gammaproteobacteria; Enterobacterales; Enterobacteriaceae
Also listed under: 4 other names
Description: bacterial SSU rRNA
Rfam family: Bacterial small subunit ribosomal RNA
Source: RNAcentral